RNAcentral lists this transfer RNA (60 nucleotides) under Rattus norvegicus (Norway rat). The record is from Rfam by way of RNAcentral. Lineage: Eukaryota; Metazoa; Chordata; Mammalia; Rodentia; Muridae.
GUGGCUCAGUGGUUAAGAGCAUUAACUGCUCUUCUCAAAAACCUGGGUUCAAUUCCCAGC